RNAcentral lists this non-coding RNA (601 nucleotides) under Pan troglodytes (chimpanzee). The record is from RNAcentral. Lineage: Eukaryota; Metazoa; Chordata; Mammalia; Primates; Hominidae.
GCGGAAAGCGCGCGCCAGCUGCACGCAGGGAAACAGUUCUCAUUUUGUGUGCUCGGCUGACUGCACGUCCAGCCUCGGGCCAGCUCGAGACGGCCACAUUGCCUGGUUGAAGAUGGCUGAGCGUAAAACAGAAUGCAAGUCAGCUGGAGCACGUACUACUGGAGGCAGAGCCCCAUAAGAAGGGGCCAAGAACCCGCACCCACCAAAAUCAAGAAGAAAGGCUGAACCCGGAGAGAAAAGGGAGCAACUGAUGUUGCCAUGCAGAUCCCUUGGUUGCUAUGAGAUGGUAACAUCACUCUGCCCCACCAUUGGCCAGUGCCUCCUCAGCUGCGGUGCCUCCCAGGCUGUGUGGUUCUCACGCGGGCCACUGACACAGAGCUGUUACUAUGGUGAACUUUACAAUUUCCUUUGAUUGGUGGAUUUCAGAAAUAGGCCAUCAGCGGAAUUCAUUAUAUUCAGCUAACCUGGCUCAGCUUCUCAGCUUCUCAGGUGGAUUGGUGAGUCCUGGCCAAUUAUGCUUCAGCUCAUCUCUACUCUCGGCAAAUAGGAAAAGGGAGUGAAGGACUGAGUUUUAACCCUUCUAAUUUCGUAACCUGACUCU